This 378-nucleotide ribosomal RNA is filed under the name uncultured bacterium. RNAcentral describes it as "bacterial SSU rRNA". It matches the Rfam family "Bacterial small subunit ribosomal RNA", at positions 521 to 896 of the family's 1533-position model. The record is from RNAcentral.
UAAUACGUAGGGAGCGAGCGUUGUCCGGAUUUACUGGGCGUAAAGGGCGCGUAGGCGGUCUGUUAAGUAUGAAGUGAAAUCUCCAGGGCUCAACCCGGAAACCGCUUUGUAAACUGGCAGACUGGAGGAAGGCAGAGGUGAGUGGAAUUCCCGGUGUAGCGGUGACAUGCAUUGAUAUCGGGAGGAACACCCAUGGCGAAGGCAGCUCACUGGGCCUUUCCUGACGCUGAGGCGCGAAAGCGUGGGUAGCAAACAGAAUUAGAUACUCUGGUAGUCCACGCCCUAAACGAUGGAUGCUAGGCGUGAGGGGUAUCGACCCCCCUUGUGCCGCAGCUAACGCAUUAAGCAUCCCGCCUGGGGAGUACGGCCGCAAGGUUG